AGGGUUCGAUUCUGGCUCAGGAUGAACGCUAGCUACAGGCUUAACACAUGCAAGUCGAGGGGCAGCAUGAUUGAAGCUUGCUUCAAUUGAUGGCGACCGGCGCACGGGUGAGUAACACGUAUCCAACCUUCCGUACACUCAGGGAUAGCCUUUCGAAAGAAAGAUUAAUACCUGAUGGUAUCUUAAGCACACAUGUAAUUAAGAUUAAAGAUUUAUCGGUGUACGAUGGGGAUGCGUUCCAUUAGGUAGUAGGCGGGGUAACGGCCCACCUAGCCUACGAUGGAUAGGGGUUCUGAGAGGAAGGUCCCCCACAUUGGAACUGAGACACGGUCCAA
RNAcentral lists this ribosomal RNA (335 nucleotides) under uncultured bacterium. Its description in RNAcentral is "bacterial SSU rRNA". It matches the Rfam family "Bacterial small subunit ribosomal RNA", at positions 8 to 334 of the family's 1533-position model. The record is from RNAcentral.